Musca domestica (house fly) is the source of this 1987-nucleotide RNA transcript. It is a transcript of the gene named RNA-binding protein 45, with no coding region annotated. The transcript has 8 exons. NCBI's taxonomy places the organism in Eukaryota, Metazoa, Arthropoda, Insecta, Diptera, Muscidae. The record is from RefSeq and is a predicted model, not a curated record.
AGAGUCGAGUACUCGGUUUUCACCCAAGUCCAUAGUCGAGUUUGAUAGCAUUUGGAAAAACGAUAGUAGCAGCUAGUUCCGAGCUCUUUAGUGAAGAUGUUCAAUUCUCUCAUGUCUCAUUCGUAAACAACAGAGUACCCGGAGUCUUUGCUUUCUGUUUAUUUUUUAUCAAGUAUUGCUUUUUGGCCUUUAUAUUCGCUUCGUUGGGACGUUUUUCAUUUUUGUUUCCCACGCUCGCAACUAACAACCAAACCAAACGAAAUUAUCGAAAUUAUGCCGGAUUGUUCUGAACAUGUAAAUGAGCCUGGACGGGGUUCCGAAACAAGUGAAGAUGACCCUCCAAUGUCCAGACUAUUCAUAUUCUGCGACAAAAUACACACGGAAAAUGAUAUCCGCAAAAGCUUUUCGCCAUACGGACUUUUACAAGAUGUUAAAAUUAUAAAGGAGAAGGAAACAGGAGAGAACAAAGGAUUUGCCUACGUAAAGUAUGCAAAAACAUCAGAGGCUGCCAAGGCCCAAGAGGAAUUGCAUGGUAGUAUAAUAGGAAAAUCUGAUCGUCCCUUAAGGGUAUUUGUUGCAGCAAGUCGCAGUCAAGGUGCUAACAAAUCUCAAAAAAUUGAACAAGAACAAUGCGUACGGCUAUUCAUACAAUGCCCAAAAGAGACUGGCGAACAAGAACUACGCGAUGAGUUUAAACAGUGGGGUCCUGUAGAGAGUGUUACACUAAUACGCCAUAAGGACACUGGUAAUCCAAAAGGAUUCGGAUAUAUACGCUAUACAAAAUUUUAUCAUGCGGCUUUAGCAUUUGAAAAUUGCUCAGCUAAAUAUAAAGCAAAAUUUGCAGAUCCGAAAAACCCAAAACGCUCAACGGAAGAUCAUUUUUCAGAUAAAAGCGAGCCCGGAAAAAUGUUAAAUUUAAAUAUAAAGAAGACCGAACAAUCUCAACCAACAUCAUUAAAUGUCAUAGUAAGCAAGACAAUUAAGCAAGAUCAGCUUUGGCGCUUAUUUGAUAUCGUUCCCGGGCUGGAUUACUGUCAAAUUCUUAAAGAAGGCGACUACAACAAUGAAGCUAUAGUGGUAUAUCACAAUCCAGAAUCUGCAAUAUAUGCCAAAGAAAAAAUUCAUGGAUUCGAAUAUCCGGUUGGUGAACGUAUUAUAGUUAAAUUAUCGGAUAUGAGCUCAGCACACAUUGAUACAACGUUCAUAGAAAAGCAUACUAGGAAGGAGACUUUUUGCAGUGUUCCUUUGCCGCAAGCUAAUCCCAUGGCUCCUAGCGACUCCCAAGUAGCAAAGCGUUUAUUUAUGAUAAUGCCAACACCUGUCCCAGUAGCCAUUUUAAAAAACAUAUUUUCAUGUUGGCCAGGACUGAUCGAUUUAUACUUUCUGCCAAAUAAGUCGUGCGGUUAUGUAAAAUAUGCCGAUAAGGAGUCCGCCAUGAAAGCAAUGGAGACCUUAAGUGGUGCAGAAAUUUGCGGAACAAAGAUUAAGAUCGUUGAAGCUGAAGAACAAAUAAAACAUGAUGGCUCCAAGACCACAAACGAUGAUGGAAGUCGCAAGCGCAUGAGACGUAACUAACAAGUAAGUUUUUAUAAGGUACAUUUUCCUUGUGUACAAUAAAUAUUCAAGACAUACAAGUUACAACAAUGGACUUAAACGAUUACAAACACUUAAAACUGACAAUUCAAAUGUUACCACAAAAACUUCAAUACAAAUGGAAACUAACAAAAUAGAAAUAACGGAUUUACUUACAUGAAGGAAUUAAUACCUACCUACUCUACUGCACACACUUAAAUACAAACUAACAAAAAUAGUAAUACCUUACAACUUAUUACUGAAGCAUUCGUCUAUAGUAGUGGAAUCAUUUAACUCCAAAUUGAAAUCAUUAAAUAUUUAUAUUGGUCGUGAAAUCUAGUACUUGAUAUAAGUACGUCAUUCGCGUUUACCAAUUUACCAUUUAUGUGUUGAAUAAAAGGAAGAACGAUUUAAA